This is a non-coding RNA of Phrynosoma platyrhinos (Desert horned lizard), 71 nucleotides long. The record is from the annotation of a GenBank genome assembly. Lineage: Eukaryota; Metazoa; Chordata; Lepidosauria; Squamata; Phrynosomatidae.
GCCAGCAUGGCAUAGGGGUGUGAGUGUUGGACUAUGGCUCUGAAGACCAGGGUUUGAUUCCCUGCUUGGCC